RNAcentral lists this ribosomal RNA (497 nucleotides) under uncultured bacterium. Its description in RNAcentral is "partial 16S ribosomal RNA". It matches the Rfam family "Bacterial small subunit ribosomal RNA", at positions 28 to 507 of the family's 1533-position model. The record is from RNAcentral.
GACGAACGCUGGCGGCGCGCCUAAUACAUGCAAGUUGAGCGCUGAAGGUUGGUACUUGUACCCACUGGAUGAGCAGCGCACGGGUGAGUAACGCGUGGGGAAUCUGCCUUUGAGCGGGGGACAACAUUUGGAAACGAAUGCUAAUACCGCAUAAAAACUUUAAACACAAGUUUUAAGUUUGAAAGAUGCAAUUGCAUCACUCAAAGAUGAUCCCGCGUUGUAUUAGCUAGUUGGUGAGGUAAAGGCUCACCAAGGCGAUGAUACAUAGCCGACCUGAGAGGGUGAUCGGCCACAUUGGGACUGAGACACGGCCCAAACUCCUACGGGAGGCAGCAGUAGGGAAUCUUCGGCAAGGGACGAAAGUCUGACCGAGCAACGCCGCGUGAGUGAAGAAGGUUUUCGGAUCGUAAAACUCUGUUGGUAGAGAAGAACGUUGGUGAGAGUGGAAAGCUCAUCAAGUGACGGUAACUACCCAGAAAGGGACGGCUAACUACGUG